CCUACGGGUGGCUGCAGUGGGGAAUAUUGGACAAUGGGCGAAAGCCUGAUCCAGCCAUGCCGCGUGUGUGAAGAAGGCCUUCGGGUUGUAAAGCACUUUCAGUGGGGAAGAAAGCCUUGGGGCUAAUACCCUCGAGGAAGGACAUCACCCACAGAAGAAGCACCGGCUGAACUCCGUGCCAGCAGCCGCGGUAAUACGGAGGGUGCGAGCGUUAAUCGGAAUUACUGGGCGUAAAGCGCGCGUAGGCGGUCUGAUAAGCCGGUUGUGAAAGCCCCGGGCUCAACCUGGGAACGGCAUCCGGAACUGUCAGGCUAGAGUGCAGGAGAGGAAGGUAGAAUUCCCGGUGUAGCGGUGAAAUGCGUAGAGAUCGGGAGGAAUACCAGUGGCGAAGGCGGCCUUCUGGACUGACACUGACGCUGAGGUGCGAAAGCGUGGGUAGCAAACAGGAUUAGAUACCCGAGUAGUC
RNAcentral lists this ribosomal RNA (466 nucleotides) under Vreelandella stevensii. RNAcentral's name for it is "partial 16S ribosomal RNA". It matches the Rfam family "Bacterial small subunit ribosomal RNA", at positions 338 to 795 of the family's 1533-position model. The record is from RNAcentral. Lineage: Bacteria; Pseudomonadati; Pseudomonadota; Gammaproteobacteria; Oceanospirillales; Halomonadaceae.